RNAcentral lists this ribosomal RNA (497 nucleotides) under uncultured bacterium. RNAcentral describes it as "partial 16S ribosomal RNA". It matches the Rfam family "Bacterial small subunit ribosomal RNA", at positions 28 to 507 of the family's 1533-position model. The record is from RNAcentral.
GAUGAACGCUGGCGGCGUGCCUAAUACAUGCAAGUCGAGCGAACAGACGAGGAGCUUGCUCCUCUGACGUUAGCGGCGGACGGGUGAGUAACACGUGGAUAACCUACCUAUAAGACUGGGAUAACUUCGGGAAACCGGAGCUAAUACCGGAUAAUAUAUCGAACCGCAUGGUUCAAUAGUGAAAGACGGUUUUGCUGUCACUUAUAGAUGGAUCCGCGCCGCAUUAGCUAGUUGGUAAGGUAACGGCUUACCAAGGCAACGAUGCGUAGCCGACCUGAGAGGGUGAUCGGCCACACUGGAACUGAGACACGGUCCAGACUCCUACGGGAGGCAGCAGUAGGGAAUCUUCCGCAAUGGGCGAAAGCCUGACGGAGCAACGCCGCGUGAGUGAUGAAGGUCCUCGGAUCGUAAAACUCUGUUAUUAGGGAAGAACAAAUGUGUAAGUAACUAUGCACGUCUUGACGGUACCUAAUCAGAAAGCCACGGCUAACUACGUG